This 858-nucleotide long non-coding RNA is filed under the name Apteryx rowi (Okarito brown kiwi). RNAcentral's name for it is "lncRNA (ENSARWG00000014818.1)". The record is from RNAcentral. Lineage: Eukaryota; Metazoa; Chordata; Aves; Apterygiformes; Apterygidae.
GUAAUAACUUCAGCCUGGAGGAUAUUUAACAGUUUUUUAGAGGAUGGGCUGCCAGAGUUUUUGUGUGAUUUAAUCAUCUCCUUGUUGACUGAAGCUGUAGUGCUGCUACAACUGCUAGAGAAGACCAGGCCAGACCUUUGAGGACUCUGAUUUCUUCUGAAGAUCUGGAGCAUAGAGCGCAGAGAAGAGAGAGGGCAAUGGGCAGCUAUGUUAUAUGUAUGUGUGUAUAUACACACAUGUAUGCAUUUUGUGCUUCUGCUCAGCCUACUUCUAAAGAACUUCAAUGUGCCUAAAUAUGCGGAGUGAAACGCAAGCGAUUCCCGCGUUGCCCAGAGCCUCUUGCCACGCCGAUUACGCACAAGUUCCUCGCUGAGCAACUUCAAGCCUGCACCAGGGGCCGCAACACGCAGCUGCCCUACAAGCGUCUGUCGUUCGGCUUUUACUCGCAGGGUCAGAGGCUCCCUCUUUUCUCUUCUGCGGCCCUGCCGUGCCUUCAGGAACCUCUUUUCCCCGGCGGGAUGUUCCCCGGCUGCUGCAGGUGGUGGGAGCCAGCCAGGGCUGGAGUCUUCGGUGGCUCCGUUGCAUCUGCGGCUCGUAGGGCUGACGCCAGCGCUCCUCUCGCUGAAAAAAAUCCUCCUUCGGUCCCUGAAAAGCGGAGGAAAACAGGCAAGACUCAGCCCAGCCCUUAGAAUGGUUAGACGUUCCCCCAUCAGUGACCCACGCCAGCGAAGGGACAGGGGCCGCAAGAGCUGGAAGGGCAGCCGGGGAGCGAGUUGGUGCUGCUGCUUUCUUUUCUCCUUGCUCAGUGCCUACGAGCAAAAGCAGCAUUGCAGCAAUGUAACACGAGAGCAGCUCUAA